Molecule: microRNA precursor, 72 nt
Filed under: Medicago truncatula (barrel medic)
Lineage: Eukaryota; Viridiplantae; Streptophyta; Magnoliopsida; Fabales; Fabaceae
Description: MIR2629 microRNA precursor family
Rfam family: MIR2629 microRNA precursor family
Source: Rfam by way of RNAcentral
AGGGUCUGAUUUCCUCGGCAGUUAACUACAGCCGGUUUUUUAAAAUUUCGGCAGUUAACUGCCGAGGAGCAU